AACGGCCGCGGUAUCCUAACCGUGCGAAGGUAGCGUAAUCACUUGUUCUUUAAAUGAGGACUAGUAUGAAUGGCACCACGAGGGUUAAACUGUCUCCUUUUUUUAAUCAGUGAAACUAAUCUCCCCGUGAAGAAGCGGGGAUUCUUUUAUAAGACGAGAAGACCCUAUGGAGCUUUAAACAAGUUAACACCUGCUACUAAUCUUUACUUUCCUGAACCACCACAUUAAGUAUAGCACCUCUGAUUAACAGUUUUCGAUUGGGGUGAUCAUGGAGCAAAAAUCAACCUCCACGACGAAAAGGAACACCUCCUUGAGCCAAAAGCUACAACUUGAAGCACUAAAAAACUAACGCACUUUGACCCAAUUCUUUGAGCAACGAACCAAGUUACCCUAGGGAUAACAGCGCAAUCCACUUUAAGAGCUCCUAUCGACAAGUGGGUUUACGACCUCGAUGUUGGAUCAGGGUAUCCCAGUGGUG
This 478-nucleotide ribosomal RNA is filed under the name Boana raniceps (Chaco treefrog). Its description in RNAcentral is "partial large subunit ribosomal RNA". It matches the Rfam family "Bacterial large subunit ribosomal RNA", at positions 1926 to 2555 of the family's 2925-position model. The record is from RNAcentral. Lineage: Eukaryota; Metazoa; Chordata; Amphibia; Anura; Hylidae.